GCUUACGGCCACACCGCCUGCUUCACCCGAUCUCGUUUGAUCUCGGAAGCUAAAAUAGGGUGGGCCUGGUUAGUACUUGGAUGGGAGACCGCCUGGGAAUACCAGGUGCUGUAAGCU
Molecule: ribosomal RNA, 117 nt
Filed under: Scophthalmus maximus (turbot)
Lineage: Eukaryota; Metazoa; Chordata; Actinopteri; Pleuronectiformes; Scophthalmidae
Source: RNAcentral